Molecule: ribosomal RNA, 502 nt
Filed under: uncultured bacterium
Lineage: Bacteria
Description: partial 16S ribosomal RNA
Rfam family: Bacterial small subunit ribosomal RNA
Source: RNAcentral
GACGAACGCUGGCGGCGUGCUUAACACAUGCAAGUCGAACGGUGAAGGGGUCUGCUUUUGUGGGCCCUGGAUGAGUGGCGAACGGGUGAGUAACACGUGAGUAACCUGCCCCCUUCUUCUGGAUAACCGCAUGAAAGUGUGGCUAAUACGGGAUAUUCUGGGUCUGUCGCAUGAUGGGUCUGGGAAAGAUUGCGCCUUUGGGUGUUUUUGGUGGGGGAUGGGCUCGCGGCCUAUCAGCUUGUUGGUGGGGUGAUGGCCUACCAAGGCGGUGACGGGUAGCCGGCCUGAGAGGGUGGACGGUCACACUGGGACUGAGACACGGCCCAGACUCCUACGGGAGGCAGCAGUGGGGAAUAUUGCACAAUGGGCGCAAGCCUGAUGCAGCGACGCCGCGUGAGGGAUGGAGGCCUUCGGGUUGUAAACCUCUUUCGCCAGUGAAGCAAGCCUGCUCCUUGUGGGUGGGUUGACGGUAGCUGGAUAAGAAGCGCCGGCUAACUACGUG